GCAUUGAACUUAAGAUUCAAAUAUAAAGUAUUUUUAAACUUUUAUUAA
This 48-nucleotide transfer RNA is filed under the name Apis mellifera carnica (Carniolan honeybee). RNAcentral describes it as "partial tRNA-Leu". Lineage: Eukaryota; Metazoa; Arthropoda; Insecta; Hymenoptera; Apidae. The record is from RNAcentral.